RNAcentral lists this ribosomal RNA (750 nucleotides) under uncultured bacterium. RNAcentral's name for it is "bacterial SSU rRNA". It matches the Rfam family "Bacterial small subunit ribosomal RNA", at positions 41 to 858 of the family's 1533-position model. The record is from RNAcentral.
GGGGGGGCUAACUUGCAGUCCGACGGGUGUAAGAAGGGAAGAUACGGUCGGAAGGUCUGUGCAUGAGUGGCGGACGUGUGAGUAACGCGUGGGCAACCUGGCCUGUACAGGGGGAUAACACUUAGAAAUAGGUGCUAAUACCGCAUAACGGGGGAAGCCGCAUGGCUUUUCCCUGAAAACUCCGGUGGUACAGGAUGGGCCCGCGUCUGAUUAGCCAGUUGGCAGGGUAACGGCCUACCAAAGCGACGAUCAGUAGCCGGCCUGAGAGGGCGGACGGCCACACUGGGACUGAGACACGGCCCAGACUCCUACGGGAGGCAGCAGUGGGGGAUAUUGCACAAUGGGGGGAACCCUGAUGCAGCGACGCCGCGUGGGUGAAGAAGCGCCUCGGCGCGUAAAGCCCUGUCAGCAGGGAAGAAAAUGACGGUACCUGAAGAAGAAGCCCCGGCUAACUACGUGCCAGCAGCCGCGGUAAUACGUAGGGGGCAAGCGUUAUCCGGAUUUACUGGGUGUAAAGGGGGCGCAGACGGCGAUGCAAGCCAGGAGUGAAAGCCCGGGGCCCAACCCCGGGACUGCUCUUGGAACUGCGUGGCUGGAGUGCAGGAGGGGCAGGCGGAAUUCCUGGUGUAGCGGCGAAAUGCGUAAAUCCCAGGACGACCACCGGUGGAGAAGGCGGCCCGGUGAAUUGUACAUUGACGCUGAUGUCCCUAAAGCCCUUCUACCUCCCCGCAUUUCCCCAUAAUUCUACCC